RNAcentral lists this ribosomal RNA (465 nucleotides) under Vreelandella stevensii. RNAcentral's name for it is "partial 16S ribosomal RNA". It matches the Rfam family "Bacterial small subunit ribosomal RNA", at positions 338 to 795 of the family's 1533-position model. Lineage: Bacteria; Pseudomonadati; Pseudomonadota; Gammaproteobacteria; Oceanospirillales; Halomonadaceae. The record is from RNAcentral.
CCUACGGGAGGCAGCAGUGGGGAAUAUUGGACAAUGGGCGAAAGCCUGAUCCAGCCAUGCCGCGUGUGUGAAGAAGGCCUUCGGGUUGUAAAGCACUUUCAGUGGGGAAGAAAGCCUUGGGGCUAAUACCCUCGAGGAAGGACAUCACCCACAGAAGAAGCACCGGCUAACUCCGUGCCAGCAGCCGCGGUAAUACGGAGGGUGCGAGCGUUAAUCGGAAUUACUGGGCGUAAAGCGCGCGUAGGCGGUCUGAUAAGCCGGUUGGGAAAGCCCCGGGCUCAACCUGGGAACGGCAUCCGGAACUGUCAGGCUAGAGUGCAGGAGAGGAAGGUAGAAUUCCCGGUGUAGCGGUGAAAUGCGUAGAGAUCGGGAGGAAUACCAGUGGCGAAGGCGGCCUUCUGGACUGACACUGACGCUGAGGUGCGAAAGCGUGGGUAGCAAACAGGAUUAGAUACCCUAGUAGUC